AUGAUGACGCUGGCGGCGUGCCUAAUACAUGCAAGUCGAACGAGUUCUCGUUGAUGAUCGGUGCUUGCACCGAGAUUCAACAUGGAACGAGUGGCGGACGGGUGAGUAACACGUGGGUAACCUGCCCUUAAGUGGGGGAUAACAUUUGGAAACAGAUGCUAAUACCGCAUAGAUCCAAGAACCGCAUGGUUCUUGGCUGAAAGAUGGCGUAAGCUAUCGCUUUUGGAUGGACCCGCGGCGUAUUAGCUAGUUGGUGAGGUAAUGGCUCACCAAGGCGAUGAUACGUAGCCGAACUGAGAGGUUGAUCGGCCACAUUGGGACUGAGACACGGCCCAAACUCCUACGGGAGGCAGCAGUAGGGAAUCUUCCACAAUGGACGCAAGUCUGAUGGAGCAACGCCGCGUGAGUGAAGAAGGCUUUCGGGUCGUAAAACUCUGUUGUUGGAGAAGAAUGGUCGGCAGAGUAACUGUUGUCGGCGUGACGGUAUCCAACCAGAAAGCCACGGCUAACUACGUGCCAGCAGCCGCGGUAAUACGUAGGUGGCAAGCGUUAUCCGGGAUUUAUUGGGCGUAAAGCGAGCGCAGGCGGUUUUUUAAGUCUGAUGUGAAAGCCCUCGGCUUAACCGAGGAAGCGCAUCGGAAACUGGGAAACUUGAGUGCAGAAGAGGACAGUGGAACUCCAUGUGUAGCGGUGAAAUGCGUAGAUAUAUGGAAGAACACCAGUGGCGAAGGCGGCUGUCUGGUCUGUAACUGACGCUGAGGCUCGAAAGCAUGGGUAGCGAACAGGAUUAGAUACCCUGGUAGUCCAUGCCGUAAACGAUGAAUGCUAGGUGUUGGAGGGUUUCCGCCCUUCAGUGCCGCAGCUAACGCAUUAAGCAUUCCGCCUGGGGAGUACGACCGCAAGGUUGAAACUCAAAGGAAUUGACGGGGGCCCGCACAAGCGGUGGAGCAUGUGGUUUAAUUCGAAGCAACGCGAAGAACCUUACCAGGUCUUGACAUCUUUUGAUCACCUGAGAGAUCAGGUUUCCCCUUCGGGGGCAAAAUGACAGGUGGUGCAUGGUUGUCGUCAGCUCGUGUCGUGAGAUGUUGGGUUAAGUCCCGCAACGAGCGCAACCCUUAUGACUAGUUGCCAGCAUUUAGUUGGGCACUCUAGUAAGACUGCCGGUGACAAACCGGAGGAAGGUGGGGAUGACGUCAAAUCAUCAUGCCCCUUAUGACCUGGGCUACACACGUGCUACAAUGGAUGGUACAACGAGUUGCGAGACCGCGAGGUCAAGCUAAUCUCUUAAAGCCAUUCUCAGUUCGGACUGUAGGCUGCAACUCGCCUACACGAAGUCGGAAUCGCUAGUAAUCGCGGAUCAGCACGCCGCGGUGAAUACGUUCCCGGGCCUUGUACACACCGCCCGUCACACCAUGAGAGUUUGUAACACCCGAAGCCGGUGGCGUAACCCUUUUAGGGAGCGAGCCGUCUAAGGUGGGACAAAUGAUUAGGGGA
This 1494-nucleotide ribosomal RNA is filed under the name Lacticaseibacillus casei. RNAcentral's name for it is "bacterial SSU rRNA". It matches the Rfam family "Bacterial small subunit ribosomal RNA". Lineage: Bacteria; Bacillati; Bacillota; Bacilli; Lactobacillales; Lactobacillaceae. The record is from RNAcentral.